GACGUAGGGCGCGAGCGUUGUCCGGAUUUAUUGGGCGUAAAGAGCUCGUAGGCGGCUUGUCGCGUCGACUGUGAAAUCCCGCGGCUCAACUGCGGGUCUGCAGUCGAUACGGGCAGGCUAGAGUUCGGUAGGGGAGACUGGAAUUCCUGGUGUAGCGGUGAAAUGCGCAGAUAUCAGGAGGAACACCGGUGGCGAAGGCGGGUCUCUGGGCCGAUACUGACGUUGAGGAGCGAAAGCGUGGGGAGCGAACAGG
Molecule: ribosomal RNA, 253 nt
Filed under: uncultured bacterium
Lineage: Bacteria
Description: partial 16S ribosomal RNA
Rfam family: Bacterial small subunit ribosomal RNA
Source: RNAcentral